Long non-coding RNA from Lemur catta (Ring-tailed lemur), 1786 nucleotides. RefSeq lists it as uncharacterized. The record is from RefSeq and is a predicted model, not a curated record. NCBI's taxonomy places the organism in Eukaryota, Metazoa, Chordata, Mammalia, Primates, Lemuridae. The transcript is spliced from 4 exons.
CACACCCUCACCUGCACAGCCGCCGUCUCGCACCUGCCGUGGGACUUCUCGUUUGUUUACGUCGUGAGACCGAACAUGGCAGACUUGGACCAGACUUUGCAACGUGGCCGUUAACACGCUUUUGCCUCAGAAUUCGUAGAACAGCCAAGAACACCAGCAGUGAAGGUAAAGCUGUGUCUGGCAGCUCUCUCUGGGGUCUCCGCCAUCGGCUCAUCCUGACACAGGUCGCGGCUGUUGGGGGCCUCGGGCCUCUCGGGAACCGCACUCACUCGCAUUCCUGUGCCGGGUGCACGCCUGUGUGUGCUGCGGGUGCAGGGCCCGUGGGGACAGAGAGCAGGCGCCAAGGCCCCUGACAAGGUCCGCAAGCAGAAAGGAAUAAACAGCAAUGUCCCUGCGCAUCCGUCUCCACGCAGUCCCAGCGACAGCUUUUCCUGCUGCCACGGGUCCCGGAUGUGACAUCGCUGGCUCAACUGCUCCCUUAUUGUGGGGGCCUCCCUCGGGGCAGGGCGUGGGCUUCCCAAACCCGUCUUCUCUGCCGUCCUCCCAAACAAGCCCCCAGACCCCUCUGGCUUCUCGCAUUUCACUGAGGAGCAAGAGGGCAGGUAAAGAGUAACUAGCGGGAAGAACAAAGGUCGUGGUGUUUUUGCAAACUCCUGCGUCAGCCUCUGAGAUGCCUGGUUCUGAGCCUGCAGCCCACACGAUCCUCCUUUUAUUUCCAUGCCAGCCUUCCUCCCGUGAGGCCUGGAGGUCAGUCAGGACAGAGAUGGGUGAUGACCCCAAUGGCAGGACCAGGACGUCUGAGCACCUCCGGCUCCCCCCUCCCCCCUGCCCCUGCCCAAGUCCCAGAGCCCUUCCCCUUCCCGCAGAGCUCGGCUUCUGGAAGGAGCCCAGCCUUGGACGAGGGGGUGACCGCUGGGCUCAAGGGCUUUGCUUUCCAAGGACGUUUUUCUUUCCUUGCUCCCUGUUCCACAUGCAGAUGUGAGUCCCGGGGGGGUGGCCCACACUCACCGCCCCUCCGGCAUGGAGAGGACAGAGGCUCGUGCCGGCGCUCUGGCUGCACCUACAGAAGGACGCCACAGAGGGAGUGGGCAGAGCCCCCUCACGUUGCCGUGAGGAGGAAAGAAGCUCUUCUGCCCUGGCAGCUGUUACACUUCUGAGCAAGGCUGCCGGCCCAGCAUUGCCACCCGGCAUCAGCACCUCGGUUCCCGGGGCCUGAUCUCAGCGCAGGGCUGCGGAAGUCCCACCCUGUUCCAGUCCCAGCUGCCCCGCUGACCGGCUGUGCCGGAUUCGCUUUAUCGGUAAAACGAAAGGCCCGUAAUCUCUCUUCAAGGAAUCUCUCCUUAGGAACUAAACUACAAGGAGAAAUAAAGAUGCUCCCUGAGUUCUAGUUUCUACUGAAGAAUUGUGAGAGCCAGGGCCAUGUGUCAUCUUCCUGUCUCCAACGCAACAUCCGUCAAGCAUGGCAUAGAGUUGGCAUUUUGAAGUCUGUUAAAGUAAUAAAUGAAAAUACAUGUCCACAGAUGGAUAAUUUAAAAAUUAAUUAUGCAAGAUCACCUCAAUGGAAGAGGAUAUUGCCAUUAGAAAUACGAACUGUGGGCACAAGACUGCAGUGUCGAAGGCUUGUCCGAGGGACCCAGCGGACAAACUAGAAGGACAGGUAACAGCGUUCUUGCGUUCUGAUUACAAAUAUGUGAAAUUCGUUUCUGUGUCUGCACAUGGAGAGGAGAGGAAGCAGCAGAAAGCAGCAGUUGUUGCUGCUAACUGGGGCGAAUUCUUUACUGUACAA